CAGUAGCCGCGGUAAUACGUAGGUGGCAAGCGUUGUCCGGAAUUAUUGGGCGUAAAGGGCUCGCAGGCGGUUUCUUAAGUCUGAUGUGAAAGCCCCCGGCUCAACCGGGGAGGGUCAUUGGAACCUGGGAAACUUGAGUGCAGAAGAGGAAAGUGGAAUUCCACGUGUAGCGGUGAAAUGCGUAGAGAUGUGGAGGAACACCAGUGGCGAAGGCGACUCUCUGGUCUGUAACUGACGCUGAGGAGCGAAAGCGUGGGGAGCGAACAGGAUUAGAUACCCCUGUAGUCCCUGUCUCUUAUAC
RNAcentral lists this ribosomal RNA (301 nucleotides) under uncultured bacterium. Its description in RNAcentral is "partial 16S ribosomal RNA". It matches the Rfam family "Bacterial small subunit ribosomal RNA", at positions 509 to 807 of the family's 1533-position model. The record is from RNAcentral.